GCCUGGCUGGCUCAGUGGGUUGAGCGUGCGACUCUUGAUCUCAGGGUCAUGAGUUCAAACCCCGUGUUGGGUG
Transfer RNA from Felis catus (domestic cat), 73 nucleotides. It matches the Rfam family "tRNA". From Rfam's summary of the family: Transfer RNA (tRNA) molecules are approximately 80 nucleotides in length. Their secondary structure includes four short double-helical elements and three loops (D, anti-codon, and T loops). Further hydrogen bonds mediate the characteristic L-shaped molecular structure. tRNAs have two regions of fundamental functional importance: the anti-codon, which is responsible for specific mRNA codon recognition, and the 3' end, to which the tRNAs corresponding amino acid is attached (by aminoacyl-tRNA synthetases). tRNAs cope with the degeneracy of the genetic code in two manners: having more than one tRNA (with a specific anti-codon) for a particular amino acid; and 'wobble' base-pairing, i.e. permitting non-standard base-pairing at the 3rd anti-codon position. The record is from Rfam. Lineage: Eukaryota; Metazoa; Chordata; Mammalia; Carnivora; Felidae.